Molecule: ribosomal RNA, 659 nt
Filed under: Enterococcus mundtii
Lineage: Bacteria; Bacillati; Bacillota; Bacilli; Lactobacillales; Enterococcaceae
Description: bacterial SSU rRNA
Rfam family: Bacterial small subunit ribosomal RNA
Source: RNAcentral
UGCAAGUCGAAACGGCAGCAUGAUCUAGCUUGCUAGAUUGAUGGCGAGUGGCGAACGGGUGAGUAAUACAUCGGAACGUGCCCUGUAGUGGGGGAUAACUAGUCGAAAGAUUAGCUAAUACCGCAUACGACCUGAGGGUGAAAGUGGGGGACCGCGAGGCCUCAUGCUAUAGGAGCGGCCGAUGUCUGAUUAGCUAGUUGGUGGGGUAAAGGCCCACCAAGGCGACGAUCAGUAGCUGGUCUGAGAGGACGAUCAGCCACACUGGGACUGAGACACGGCCCAGACUCCUACGGGAGGCAGCAGUGGGGAAUUUUGGACAAUGGGGGCAACCCUGAUCCAGCAAUGCCGCGUGUGUGAAGAAGGCCUUCGGGUUGUAAAGCACUUUUGUCCGGAAAGAAAUCGCACUUACUAAUAUUAGGUGUGGAUGACGGUACCGGAAGAAUAAGGACCGGCUAACUACGUGCCAGCAGCCGCGGUAAUACGUAGGGUCCAAGCGUUAAUCGGAAUUACUGGGCGUAAAGCGUGCGCAGGCGGUUGUGCAAGACCGAUGUGAAAUCCCCCGGGCUUAACCUGGGAAUUGCAUUGGUGACUGCACGGCUAGAGUGUGUCAGAGGGGGGUAGAAUUCCACGUGUAGCAGUGAAAUGCGUAAAGAUGUGGA